AAUAAAAACAGAAUGUAAUGAUUUUCAAAUCUCAUCAACCCAUAUUUUUUCCUAAUAGAACAUCAACAACAUAUCAGACGUUGAGACUUUUACAUU
Molecule: long non-coding RNA, 96 nt
Organism: Melanotaenia boesemani (Boeseman's rainbowfish)
Lineage: Eukaryota; Metazoa; Chordata; Actinopteri; Atheriniformes; Melanotaeniidae
Exons: 3
Source: RefSeq, a predicted model, not a curated record